UACGAAGGGGGCUAGCGUUGUUCGGAAUCACUGGGCGUAAAGCGUGCGUAGGUUGUUUGAGAAGUCAGAUGUGAAAUCCUGGGGCUUAACCCUAGAAUUGCAUUUGAAACUUUCAGACUAGAGACCGGUAGGGGAUAGUGGAAUUCCUAGUGUAGAGGUGAAAUUCGUAGAUAUUAGGAGGAACACCUGUGGCGAAGGCGGCUAUCUGGACCGGUACUGACACUAAAGCACGAAAGCGUGGGGAGCAAACAGG
This 253-nucleotide unclassified non-coding RNA is filed under the name uncultured Rickettsiales bacterium. RNAcentral's name for it is "contains 16S-23S intergenic spacer region". It matches the Rfam family "Bacterial small subunit ribosomal RNA", at positions 524 to 776 of the family's 1533-position model. Lineage: Bacteria; Pseudomonadati; Pseudomonadota; Alphaproteobacteria; Rickettsiales. The record is from RNAcentral.